This 133-nucleotide transfer RNA is filed under the name Bacteriophage sp. RNAcentral's name for it is "tRNA-Ile". It matches the Rfam family "tRNA". From Rfam's summary of the family: Transfer RNA (tRNA) molecules are approximately 80 nucleotides in length. Their secondary structure includes four short double-helical elements and three loops (D, anti-codon, and T loops). The record is from RNAcentral.
AGGACGGUAGCUUAAUCGGUUUAAGCCUCCGACUUAUCUGAGAGUAGUUUAAAAGUAAAACUGUUAAUGUAAGUGCAAGACUUGCCUUUCAGACCAAAUCGGAAGAUUGUGAGUUCGAGUCUCACCCGUCCCA